This 1182-nucleotide ribosomal RNA is filed under the name Mycoplasma haemofelis. RNAcentral's name for it is "bacterial SSU rRNA". It matches the Rfam family "Bacterial small subunit ribosomal RNA", at positions 136 to 1362 of the family's 1533-position model. Lineage: Bacteria; Bacillati; Mycoplasmatota; Mollicutes; Mycoplasmatales; Mycoplasmataceae. The record is from RNAcentral.
GUGGGGGAUAGCCGCUUGAAAAAGCGAUUAAUACCCCAUAGGAAGCUUUAUCCAUGAUUUAGCUUUUAAAGACUUCGGGCGCUGAGGGAUUGGGAUAUGCUCUAUUAGCUAGUUGGCGGGAUAAAAGCCCACCAAGGCAAUGAUAGAUAGCUGGUCUUAGAGGAUGAACAGCCACAAUGGGAUUGAGAUACGGCCCAUAUUCCUACGGGAAGCAGCAGUAGGGAAUCUUCCACAAUGGACGAAAGUCUGAUGGAGCAAUACCAUGUGAACGAUGAAGGCCUUUUUGGUUGUAAAGUUCUUUUACGAGGGAUAAUUAUGAUAGUACUUCGUGAAUAAGUGACAGCAAACUAUGUGCCAGCAGCUGCGGUAAUACAUAGGUCGCGAGCAUUAUUCGGAUUUAUUGGGCGUAAAGCAAGCGCAGGCGGAUGUGUAAGUUCUGUGUUAAAUGCAGCUACUCAAUAGUUGUAUGCACCGAAUACUACAUGUCUAGAUUGUGGUAGGGAGUUUCGGAAUUAAGCAUGGAGCGGUGGAAUGUGUAGAUAUGCUUAAGAACACCAGAGGCGAAGGCGGAAACUUAGGCCAUAAAUGACGCUUAGGCUUGAAAGUGUGGGGAGCAAAUGGGAUUAGAUACCCCAGUAGUCCACACCGUAAACGAUGGGUAUUAGAUAUUAGGGCUUUAGCUUUAGUGUUGUAGCUUACGCGUUAAAUACCCCGCCUGGGUAGUACAUAUGCAAAUAUGAAACUCAAAGGAAUUGACGGGGACCUGAACAAGUGGUGGAGCAUGUUGCUUAAUUCGAUAAUACACGAAAAACCUUACCAAGGUUUGACAUCCCUCGCAAAGCUAUAGAAAUAUAGUAGAGGUUAUCGAGGUGACAGGUGGUGCAUGGCUGUCGUCAGCUCGUGUCUUGAGAUGUUUGGUUAAGUCCCGCAACGAGCGCAACCCCACUCUUUAGUUACUUGUCUAAAGAGACUGCACAGUAAUGUAGAGGAAGGAUGGGAUCACGUCAAGUCAUCAUGCCCCUUAUGCCUUGGGCUGCAAACGUGCUACAAUGGCGAACACAAUGUGUUGCAAACCAGCGAUGGUAAGCUAAUCACCAAAUUUCGUCUCAGUUCGGAUAGGAGGCUGCAAUUCGCCUCCUUGAAGUUGGAAUCACUAGUAAUCCCGUGUCAGCUAUAUCGGGG